UCGAACGGUGAAGAGGAGCUUGCUCCUUGGAUCAGUGGCGAACGGGUGAGUAACACGUGAGCAAUCUGCCCUUGACUCUGGGAUAACUGCGGGAAACUGUAGCUAAUACCGGAUAUUACCUUGGAAGGCAUCUUCUGGGGUGGAAAGAAUUUUGGUCAAGGAUGAGCUCGCGGCCUAUCAGCUAGUUGGUGAGGUAAUGGCUCACCAAGGCGACGACGGGUAGCCGGCCUGAGAGGGUGACCGGCCACACUGGGACUGAGACACGGCCCAGACUCCUACGGGAGGCAGCAGUGGGGAAUAUUGCACAAUGGGCGCAAGCCUGAUGCAGCAACGCCGCGUGAGGGACGACGGCCUUCGGGUUGUAAACCUCUUUUAGUAGGGAAGAAGCGACUGGGUUUUCCUGGGAGUGACGGUACCUGCAGAAAAAGCACCGGCUAACUACGUGCCAGCAGCCGCGGUAAUACGUAGGGUGCAAGCGUUGUCCGGAAUUAUUGGGCGUAAAGAGCUCGUAGGCGGUUUGUCGCGUCUGCUGUGAAAACCCGAGGCUCAACCUCGGGCCUGCAGUGGGUACGGGCAGACUAGAGUGCGGUAGGGGAGAUUGGAAUUCCUGGUGUAGCGGUGGAAUGCGCAGAUAUCAGGAGGAACACCAAUGGCGAAGGCAGAUCUCUGGGCCGUAACUGACGCUGAGGAGCGAAAGCAUGGGGAGCGAACAGGAU
RNAcentral lists this ribosomal RNA (716 nucleotides) under uncultured bacterium. Its description in RNAcentral is "bacterial SSU rRNA". It matches the Rfam family "Bacterial small subunit ribosomal RNA", at positions 62 to 778 of the family's 1533-position model. The record is from RNAcentral.